GCUGUCGGUCUUUAUAGCCACAUUCAGGAUGUGGAUAGGCUCGUCCUGCACGCUCUGGAUGACAAAGCAAUUACACAUUUCAUUCUAAGGUACACAGCCACACCGGUCAAUGACCACCAGACGUCUGUUCUCCUCACCUUGUUGUCCUCUUCGCCAUACAGGACAGGAUUACCUCCCUCUGGGAAGGUAGGACUUGAUGGCGGAGAGUCAGAGAAGCAGCU
Molecule: long non-coding RNA, 221 nt
Organism: Sander lucioperca (pikeperch)
Lineage: Eukaryota; Metazoa; Chordata; Actinopteri; Perciformes; Percidae
Exons: 2
Source: RefSeq, a predicted model, not a curated record